GGCCGGGGCGGGCCAGCGAAUCAGGAGGCCGGGCGCAGGGCGGUUGCUAGGCAGGGGCGGGAGGCGGCCGGGCGCGCAGCAGGCAGUCGAUAGGGGGCGCUGGACCGGGAGGCCGGGCCGGGGCAGCCUCGGGCCGUGUGCAGCCGCGGGGCGGGAGCGGCGUCCCACCCGGAUCCCACAUGGGUCCCACACGGAUCCCGGCCCUGGGGAGUCCCGCCGGGUGCAGCCGUGCCCGGUCCCGCGGGGUGUGAAGCGCUGGGCACUGAUCCCGUGCAGAUGGGCGCUGCCCUGAGCCGAGUGGUGACACACAAUAGGCGUGUGCCAACCGAACGCAUGAACUGGGCUAAUUAUACACCUACAAUUUCCGUGUGUAAGCAAAGCCAGAGGAGAAUUUGAUACUGUGCAAACGUCUGGCAGUGAAUUCAGGCUGGGGCUGGGCUGGAGCCAGGCCUGACCCACGCCAGAAUUUUUGGCCGGUCAUCCAGAAAUAUGAAAAAGUGCCGCCGUGGCGAACGGAUGUUGCCAAUAAUCCACCACCAUUGUGUGAAGGAUUGGGACCUGACAGUACAGCUUUAGCAGCAAAUGCUUUCCAGUGUGGACAAGGAUGAGUACUUGGAAGAACCCAUCUGGGGACACUGACCUCUCUGUGGAUGGGACUGCCUGCGAUUUUCACAGCUCCACAGAUCGUGGUGUGCUAAAUGCGUUUUAAAUGUGUAAGUGCCAAUAGGCAACCUUAAAAGUAAGCAGAACCCACCUGAAGAGCUCGUAGCCAUCCUCAGAGAGCAUACUUGGUCCUUCAUGCUUAAAUAAAACCUUAAUUUCA
Long non-coding RNA from Corapipo altera (White-ruffed manakin), 823 nucleotides. RefSeq lists it as uncharacterized. The transcript is spliced from 2 exons. NCBI's taxonomy places the organism in Eukaryota, Metazoa, Chordata, Aves, Passeriformes, Pipridae. The record is from RefSeq and is a predicted model, not a curated record.